AGAGAGAGAGAGAGAGAGAUUUGCCUGUCUAUCAGCAUUUGGGGUCAUCCAAGGAAAGCAAUCAGUUCAGAAGGGGCAAAAGAAGGGAGAGACGUUUCUCCGGUGGUGGGAAAACAUCCUGACGCCAUUAUCUUCAUCGCACACAGCUCAGCAUCUCCGGCGAUGGGUGGGACGCGCUCCAGGGCCCAGAGCCACCCUCGCUCGUCCGACAACACGUCUCUCUGCAGACUGCUGGCUGUUUGGGGGGCGAUGGAAAGACAACAGAACAACAUCGUACCAUUGUGUCGAGUUGUCUGGGACUCCCCUGUUUAGGUCCGACCGUGACUGGGCGAUAAUUGUCAACAUUUCCCUGGAUCCGAGCCUCUGUGAGUUUGCGUGCUUCUGCUGAUGUCUUCACCCUUUCACAUCUGGAUCCAAAUUCUCAAAGAGUUGCUCAUAUUCUUUCACGGUGGUUUCUUUUCCUAGCGGGAUCCUUUUGUAUGAA
Non-coding RNA from Pogona vitticeps (central bearded dragon), 484 nucleotides. The record is from RefSeq and is a predicted model, not a curated record. NCBI's taxonomy places the organism in Eukaryota, Metazoa, Chordata, Lepidosauria, Squamata, Agamidae.